AUGCUGACUUGGCAGCACAGAUACUAAAAUUAGAGUGAUACAGAGAAGAUUAGCAUGGCCCCUGCAUAAGGAUGACACACAGAUCCUGAAGUGUUUCCUACUUUGU
Myotis daubentonii (Daubenton's bat) is the source of this 106-nucleotide small nuclear RNA. Lineage: Eukaryota; Metazoa; Chordata; Mammalia; Chiroptera; Vespertilionidae. The record is from RefSeq and is a predicted model, not a curated record.